GGAAAUUUUGUAUAGAUUAAAACAACAGCAAAUCACGUCCCCUCAAACCUCCACGCGCUCCCUUUUCUGACUUCCGACCAUAACCCUCUUUCUUCCCCAGCUCGAGUCAUGGAUUGUGCUUCAUUCCACAGAUUACGAAUCUGACUUCAAGACUAGAAUUCCCCUGGAUCGGAUGGCUGAACAUUAAACAAAUUUCCAGAUCCAGAUUCCGCUGCCCCGACGUCAUCGUCUCCUCUGCGCUUGGAAAAAGAGGGAAUGGAACUCAAAAGACAGUAGUAUGGAAUCAAGUCUAUUUCAUCCGAUACUAUUAAAUGGGAUAUUCUACCUUAUUUCCAUCAAGGUCUA
This is a long non-coding RNA of Monodelphis domestica (gray short-tailed opossum), 345 nucleotides long. RefSeq lists it as uncharacterized. The record is from RefSeq and is a predicted model, not a curated record. NCBI's taxonomy places the organism in Eukaryota, Metazoa, Chordata, Mammalia, Didelphimorphia, Didelphidae.